UCCAUAUCCGUGCUCGGACGCUU
RNAcentral lists this microRNA (23 nucleotides) under Bombyx mori (domestic silkworm). RNAcentral describes it as "bmo-miR-3337". Lineage: Eukaryota; Metazoa; Arthropoda; Insecta; Lepidoptera; Bombycidae. The record is from miRBase by way of RNAcentral.